RNA transcript from Cryptomeria japonica (Japanese cedar), 2539 nucleotides. It is a transcript of the gene named protein MAIN-LIKE 2-like, with no coding region annotated. NCBI's taxonomy places the organism in Eukaryota, Viridiplantae, Streptophyta, Pinopsida, Cupressales, Cupressaceae. The record is from RefSeq and is a predicted model, not a curated record. The transcript is spliced from 3 exons.
AGCUAUAUGCCCCCCCCUGUUUCGACUUGCUUAUUAGGGAGGUGAAACAGGGUAGCAUGUUUACUUACGACAAAUUGUGUAAGAGAGUAUUGAUGAGGGAUGUUCACUGAAUAGGCUUUAUCAGAGCACUUUUUGGAACAUCUCGAGAGUAGGGGAAUGAAAAUACGAUUCCUACGCAACAAAUGGUUCGAAAAUCGCAUCUCCCAAACUCAAGUUAUGAUGAAAUGAGUGAUAGAGGAAAAUUAGGGUUUUGAAAGUAAAGGUAAAGGAAUGAAAGUAUAUACCUUGAAAAUGACAUUUGCAUUUGUCACUUUGUUGAUUUCUGAGUAUUGUUCAUUGCAGCGGAGCCCACAUAGCCAUCAUCAUGCCUUUACGACGACUGGAGCGUCCCACGAGGAUUGAGAUCAUGCGACAGGCUGUGAUCGAUGAUGAGCCACUGGACGAGGGUCUCCCAUACAUGAGAGAGCAUACGGCGGGGUAGAUUCUUCACAGUUUGCGAGAUCAGAUUCCCCGGCUGACUCAGGCAGAGAGGGAUACAUUGUCGAUCGUGGGUUUAUGGUAUGCGAUCCUCAUGCCGGCCAUUCGAUUUCAUCCUGCGAUGCUGAUGGCACUGAUGGAGCGAUAGGAUCCUGACACAUGCACAUUCCAUCUUCCAGUAGGAGAGCUGACGGUUACACUUGAGGAUGUGUACCGCAUACUUCGUCUUCCUAUCAGAGGAGCUACUGUGACAUACGCGACCGACCGGUCAGCGGAGGACCAUCAGAGAGAGUAGGUAUACUGCAUAGGGAGAGUCAGGCCGAGCGAGACGAGAGGUCGCAUCAUGGUCAGCUGGCUCUUACAUCCUACAGGAGAGGUGCCCCUUGUGAGACGUCUUAUGAUUGCCAUCAUUGCACUAGCCGUCUGCCCUAAUGGGCGAGGUACGCACAUGCAUGGGGGUCUCACAUGGUGCAUCAGAGCUAUGGAGAGACACAGGAGAGUAUAUGCUUGGGGUCGGAGUAUGCUUGCACAUCUCUAUCAUGACCUUGAGGAGUAUGUGUUUGGACAGGGCUGUAGCUUGAUGACAUGCACACUUCUGCAAGUGUGGAUAUUUGAGCACUUCACAUGCACCAGGCCUGUCUGCUUUCCGAUGAGUACGGCUAGCGAGCGACCUAGGGUGUUUGCUUAUCCACUUACCAGCGAGUGGAGAUUUGGGGAUCUGCUAUAUUGGAGAGUGAUAUUUGAUAGAUUGACAACCGAGGUGACAGUAUGGAGACCAUAUCUGCGGAUGCACAGAUGGGAUGGGAUGGAGAGACAGUUAGCAUGCUUACAGAGGAACCGCCUAUUGCGGGGACGAUAUUCACAUAUCAUAGUCCCAUUCUACUUCGACCGAGUACGGAGGCAGUUUGGGCUAGAGCAGUGUGUUCCAGCCGAUGUACCCAUCUAUACUCGACACUCACGAGUCCUUCCUAGACCUAGAGCAGUAGCGAGACCGACGAUAGAUGACAUCGAGACUAUAGAUAUAGAGGGAUCCGAUCAGGAUGUGGUCACUGAUUACUCUGCAGAGCCUGGAGCACAGCGCAGGUAUGUCUCAUGGUUUAUGAGAUCAUACCUAGGGCCUAUCUUUCCACCAGAUCACCCGACAGGCCAUCCAGGCCCAUGGAGACAUGGAGACUGAGAUGAGGAUCAGGGAUUCAGGUCGGAGGAGCCAGAGGAGGGAGAGGGUCAUGAGGAGGCAGGAGAUCCUGAUCCACCCACAGGAGAUCAGCCUAGUGCCGAGGAGGAGGAGGAGGAUGACACAGAUAGAGAUGAGGAGAGCGAGGAUGCAGGUGAGGAUGCAGACGAGGAUGAGGAUGAGGAUGAGGAUGAGGAUAGAGAUGAUGAGGAGGGGUCAGAUGCCGCUCCCCACCAUUGAGGAGAUGAUACCAUAGCCUUGGAUCCUCCUCUUAUUCCCCAAAAGGGGGAACAUGAGGCGAUACGGAGACCUGUUUCUAGUACGGGCCAGCCUACACCCAUCGUACAUAGAUUAUUUGAGCGUGGGGAGCCUAGUAGUUCCCAGUCACAGAUACUACCAUAUCAUGAUCCCUACUGGCGUGAGGGAGAUCUAGCUAAUGUGCAGGAGUGGCGUUCCCUGAUUCAGCAAGCAGUGACAGACAUUUCCACGAUGGCACAGAUCCCUAGUUCCUCACAGAUUGCUUAUAGGCCUCAGGGGAACGCGGGUCGGCAUAAGGACUUGUUUUCCCCAUUCCGAGUACAGGUGGACAUAUGGAGGGAGAGAGAGAGAGUUCUAUCAGAGAACCUUUAGCGGGCAUAGCGAGAUCUAGCAGCAGCUCAGGCCGAGGCUACCUCCUAUCGCGCGAUCCUUAUGGAUAGGGAUCGUACGAGUUCCUGUCGGAGUCACUCACGGUCUAUAUCGCGCUACACACCUAUGGGUCCACCUGCACGGCCGGAUCAGGAGGGAGCAUCUAGUCGCACUCUCCAGCCACCAGCCCUAGGGAUAGGAGAUGAUCUUAUGAUGUAGGAUAGGUCACAUUUUGGAUAUAUAGUGACCUAUAUUUGUAUA